AGAGUUUGAUCCUGGCUCAGAUUGAACGCUGGCGGCAUGCCUUACACAUGCAAGUCGAACGGCAGCACGGGGGCAACCCUGGUGGCGAGUGGCGAACGGGUGAGUAAUACAUCGGAACGUGUCCUGUAGUGGGGGAUAGCCCGGCGAAAGCCGGAUUAAUACCGCAUACGAUCUACGGAAGAAAGCGGGGGACCGAAAGGCCUCGCGCUAUAGGGGCGGCCGAUGGCAGAUUAGCUAGUUGGUGGGGUAAAGGCCUACCAAGGCGACGAUCUGUAGCUGGUCUGAGAGGACGACCAGCCACACUGGGACUGAGACACGGCCCAGACUCCUACGGGAGGCAGCAGUGGGGAAUUUUGGACAAUGGGGGAAACCCUGAUCCAGCAAUGCCGCGUGUGUGAAGAAGGCCUUCGGGUUGUAAA
Molecule: ribosomal RNA, 419 nt
Filed under: uncultured bacterium
Lineage: Bacteria
Description: bacterial SSU rRNA
Rfam family: Bacterial small subunit ribosomal RNA
Source: RNAcentral